This 69-nucleotide transfer RNA is filed under the name Iphione sp. YZ-2018. Its description in RNAcentral is "tRNA-Gln". It matches the Rfam family "tRNA". Rfam says of the family: Transfer RNA (tRNA) molecules are approximately 80 nucleotides in length. Their secondary structure includes four short double-helical elements and three loops (D, anti-codon, and T loops). Lineage: Eukaryota; Metazoa; Annelida; Polychaeta; Phyllodocida; Iphionidae. The record is from RNAcentral.
UAGAAAAUAGUGAACGGAUCACAAGAGAUUUUGACUCUCUAAAAUAAGGUUCAAUUCCUUUUUUUCUAA